CGUGAACGCUGGCGGCAGGCCUAACACAUGCAAGUCGAGCGGUAGAGAGAAGCUUGCUUCUCUUGAGAGCGGCGGACGGGUGAGUAAUGCCUAGGAAUCUGCCUGGUAGUGGGGGAUAACGUUCGGAAACGGACGCUAAUACCGCAUACGUCCUACGGGAGAAAGCAGGGGACCUUCGGGCCUUGCGCUAUCAGAUGAGCCUAGGUCGGAUUAGCUAGUUGGUGAGGUAAUGGCUCACCAAGGCGACGAUCCGUAACUGGUCUGAGAGGAUGAUCAGUCACACUGGAACUGAGACACGGUCCAGACUCCUACGGGAGGCAGCAGUGGGGAAUAUUGGACAAUGGGCGAAAGCCUGAUCCAGCCAUGCCGCGUGUGUGAAGAAGGUCUUCGGAUUGUAAAGCACUUUAAGUUGGGAGGAAGGGCAGUUACCUAAUACGUGAUUGUUUUGACGUUACCGACAGAAUAAGCACCGGCUAACUCUGUGCCAGCAGCCG
This 494-nucleotide ribosomal RNA is filed under the name Pseudomonas marginalis. RNAcentral describes it as "bacterial SSU rRNA". It matches the Rfam family "Bacterial small subunit ribosomal RNA", at positions 29 to 517 of the family's 1533-position model. The record is from RNAcentral. Lineage: Bacteria; Pseudomonadati; Pseudomonadota; Gammaproteobacteria; Pseudomonadales; Pseudomonadaceae.